Peromyscus leucopus (white-footed mouse) is the source of this 1002-nucleotide non-coding RNA. The record is from the annotation of a RefSeq genome assembly. NCBI's taxonomy places the organism in Eukaryota, Metazoa, Chordata, Mammalia, Rodentia, Cricetidae.
CUUUAGGUCCUCAGGAACCAACAGUCCACAAAUCUCCAUGAUGAUUGGGGUCUCCCUCCUUCUCACCCUCCUUACUCUCUGCUCAGGGUCCUGGGCACAGUCUGGGCUGAGUCAGGAAGCCUUCAUGUCUGGUUCUAUUGGACAAGAAGUCACCCUCAUCUGUACUGGAAGUGGUGGUGGUGUUGGACUAGAUGAUGCAUCCUGGCACAAAGAAAUUCCUGGUGAUGUACCCAAAUUUGUGACAAUUGGCUAUUCCCGGCCCUUUAGCAAUACAUAUUCCCUAACUAUGACAGACCUCAAGCCUGAAGAUGAGGCCAGUUAUUACUGUUCAACAUGGGACAGUAGCACAAAUGCUCACACAGUGCUCCAGAUGCCUGGGGAACUGAAACUAAAACAUUCCCCUGACCUUCACUAGCCUGCUCAGGCCAUGGCAAUCUAGCAGUUAAAGUGUGCGACUAUGAGGACCAGUGUCCCUGUUAUUACAUCAGAUUCUCAGAGGACAGAUCAGCCUUAUGUGAUAGGGACAGUUAGCAAUCUUCAUGUGGUUGGAUCUUAACUUCUUUAUUGAGAUAUACUAUCCAAGAGACCAACUGUUGCCAAAUGUGCAGUAAAAUUCUUCUUUUCAUAUUUCUACAGUGUUGCAAAUUUCACAUAACAUAAACUAAGAAUAUACCUUAAACAGAAAUAAUUAUUAAUUAGAAGGACAGCAGAUUAUAGUAAUUUUGGCUUUCAACUACACUUUUUUUUGCAUCACUUUUGGUAUUUUUAGGAAAAUGUCUACUAGUUUGCUGUUUUAGACACUGCUCAGACAUAAUUUUGUACUAUCAGGUAAUUAUUAUCUUUAACUUGAAUUGUAUGGAUACACUACUGGUGGCUCACCUUUAACUGAGUUAGAGGUAUUUGGUUUGAAUUUUUUGUAUUUGUAAGUAUUUUUAUUAUAGAUGCCAACCUACAAUUUUCAAGUACUUCUGUGGACAUACCCUUUGGGGACAGAUAACCAGG